Pelobates cultripes (western spadefoot toad) is the source of this 278-nucleotide non-coding RNA. The record is from the annotation of a GenBank genome assembly. Lineage: Eukaryota; Metazoa; Chordata; Amphibia; Anura; Pelobatidae.
CUGGAGGAUCCUGCUGUCUUGUGGGAUCCUCUAUAGAACUCAAUGCUGUACUCUUGCACAAGAGCAAUGGGAAAGCAGUGACAUUGGCUGCUGGUUCUAAAGCACCAAGAACUGAAGAGGACCUACCGGAGGAAGAUGACUGUACCCACAAAGGACAGGCUCAGAUAAGUAGAACUCUCCUUCACCUUUUUCCCCAGCCACCAGAUCCCAGUGGCGAUGCAAAAGGUCCCAUACAGUGACAAUACCGCUUUAAAUAAUAAUAAUAACAGAGUAUUUAA